Molecule: ribosomal RNA, 723 nt
Filed under: Ostreococcus sp. RCC454
Lineage: Eukaryota; Viridiplantae; Chlorophyta; Mamiellophyceae; Mamiellales; Bathycoccaceae
Description: SSU rRNA
Rfam family: Eukaryotic small subunit ribosomal RNA
Source: RNAcentral
UUGUUGCAGUUAAAACCUCGUAGUCGGAUUUUGGCUGAGAACGGUCCGUCCGCCGUUAGGUGUGCACUGACUGGUCUCAGCUUCCUGAGUGAGGAGGUGUGCUUCAUCGCCACUUAGUCACCGUGGUUACUUUGAAAAAAUUAGAGUGUUCAAAGCGGGCUUACGCUUGAAUAUAUUAGCAUGGAAUAACACCAUAGGACUCCUGUCCUAUUUCGUUGGUCUCGGGACGGGAGUAAUGAUUAAGAGGAACAGUUGGGGGCAUUCGUAUUUCAUUGUCAGAGGUGAAAUUCUUGGAUUUAUGAAAGACGAACUUCUGCGAAAGCAUUUGCCAAGGAUGUUUUCAUUGAUCAAGAACGAAAGUUGGGGGCUCGAAGAUGAUUAGAUACCAUCCUAGUCUCAACCAUAAACGAUGCCGACUAGGGAUUGGCGGAUGUUAAUUGAUGACUUCGCCAGCACCUUAUGAGAAAUCAAAGUUUUUGGGUUCCGGGGGGAGUAUGGUCGCAAGGCUGAAACUUAAAGGAAUUGACGGAAGGGCACCACCAGGCGUGGAGCCUGCGGCUUAAUUUGACUCAACACGGGGGAAACUUACCAGGUCCGGACAUAGUAAGGAUUGACAGAUUUGAGAGCUCUUUCUUGAUUCUAUGGGUGGUGGGGCAUGGCCGUUCUUAGUUGGGGGGAGUGAUUUGUCUGGGUAAUUCCGUUAACGAACGAAACCUCACCCUG